UACGAAGGGGGCUAGCGUUGUUCGGAAUCACUGGGCGUAAAGGGCGCGUAGGUGGCAUGUUAAGUUUGAUGUGAAAGCUCAGGGCUUAACCCUGAAAUGGCAUUGAAUACUAGCGUGCUGGAGGUUUGGAGGGGGGACUGGAAUUCUCGGUGUAGCAGUGAAAUGCGUAGAUAUCGAGAGGAACACCAGUGGCGAAGGCGAGUCCCUGGACAACACCUGACACUGAGGCACGAAAGCGUGGGUAGCAAACAGG
This 253-nucleotide ribosomal RNA is filed under the name uncultured bacterium. RNAcentral describes it as "partial 16S ribosomal RNA". It matches the Rfam family "Bacterial small subunit ribosomal RNA", at positions 524 to 776 of the family's 1533-position model. The record is from RNAcentral.